RNAcentral lists this ribosomal RNA (329 nucleotides) under uncultured eukaryote. Its description in RNAcentral is "partial 18S ribosomal RNA". It matches the Rfam family "Eukaryotic small subunit ribosomal RNA", at positions 1470 to 1796 of the family's 1831-position model. The record is from RNAcentral.
CCCUUAGAUGUCCUGGGCUGCACGCGCGCUACACUGACGAACUCAACGAGCUUAUCACCUUGGCAGAGAUGUCUGGGUAAUCUUUUGAAAGUUCGUCGUGCUGGGGAUAGAUGAUUGUAAUUAUUCGUCUUGAACGAGGAAUUCCUAGUAAGUGUGAGUCAUCAGCUCGCGCUGAUUACGUCCCUGCCCUUUGUACACACCGCCCGUCGCUCCUACCGAUUGAAUGGUCCGGUGAGGUUCUCGGAUUUUUUCUGUUGUUCGGUUCGCUAAACGAUUGAAGAGAGAAGUUACCCAAACCUUACCAUUUAGAGGAAGGAGAAGUCGUAACA